Molecule: long non-coding RNA, 362 nt
Organism: Gymnodraco acuticeps
Lineage: Eukaryota; Metazoa; Chordata; Actinopteri; Perciformes; Bathydraconidae
Exons: 2
Source: RefSeq, a predicted model, not a curated record
ACCCCAACUAGACAAUAAUACACAAUCCAACUGAUAAGAUACAGUAAGGGCUGUGAUAUCCACUUUUUUUAAGGAUAACAAAAAGAUUAUCACAUGACAUUUGCAUGUAAAAAAAAAAAGUCUGUGACCAACACAUUGUUACUUUACAUAUAUCUGUUUGUUUAAAGUUUCCAGGUGAUGCAGCAGACAGAGCAGAGGAUGCUGACCACGAGAGACAGACCUAUUCCUAACAUCAGUGAACUUCAGCAUGGACUCAAAGGAAAGGACAUACCUGAAGGACACAACUGCCUCACCGUUUUCUCAGAGGGGCAAGAAGAAAAUGAGAAGCUUAUUUCAGAUUAAAGACCAAUACAGGACAUUCA